Molecule: ribosomal RNA, 192 nt
Filed under: uncultured bacterium
Lineage: Bacteria
Description: partial 16S ribosomal RNA
Rfam family: Bacterial small subunit ribosomal RNA
Source: RNAcentral
CAAUUCGCCUUCAUGAAGCCGGAAUUGCUAGUAAUGGCAGGUCAGCAUACUGCCGUGAAUACGUUCCCGGGCCUUGUACACACCGCCCGUCACACCAUGAGAGUUGGGGAUACCCGAAGCCUGUGAGCUAACUUAUAGAGGCAGCAGUCGAAGGUAGAAUCAAUGAUUGGGGUGAAGUCGUAACAAGGUAUC